This 274-nucleotide ribosomal RNA is filed under the name uncultured bacterium. RNAcentral describes it as "partial 16S ribosomal RNA". It matches the Rfam family "Bacterial small subunit ribosomal RNA", at positions 523 to 796 of the family's 1533-position model. The record is from RNAcentral.
ACACGGGGGGCGCAAGCGUUAUUCGGAAUUAUUGGGCGUAAAGGGCGUGUAGGCGGUUUUAUCGGUCAGAUGUGAAAGCCCAGGGCUCAACCCUGGACGUGCAUUUGAAACAGUCAGACUUGAGUACGGUAGAGGAAAGCGGAAUUCCUGGUGUAGAGGUGAAAUUCGUAGAUAUCAGGAGGAACACCGAUGGCGAAGGCAGCUUUCUGGACCGAAACUGACGCUGAUGCGCGAAGGCGGGGGUAGCGAACAGGAUUAGAAACCCCAGUAGUCC